Camelina sativa (false flax) is the source of this 316-nucleotide non-coding RNA. Lineage: Eukaryota; Viridiplantae; Streptophyta; Magnoliopsida; Brassicales; Brassicaceae. The record is from RefSeq and is a predicted model, not a curated record.
GGGGAAGUUUAUUAACCUCACCCUUUUAACUCUUGAAGCCAAUCAAUUUUCUGGAACUAUUCCUAAGGAACUUGGGAACCUAGUGAAUCUACAAGGAUUAGGACUCUCUUCCAACCAACUUGUCGGAGGCCUCCCCAAGACAUUAGCAAGACUAAAAAAGCUAACUAAUCUCAUCUUAAGUGAUAACCUCCUGAACGGAUCGAUUCCAGAGUUUAUUGGGAAAUUAUCCCAACUUCAAAGAUUAGAACUCUAUGCGAGUGGCCUUAGAGGACCUAUUCCAGACUCCAUUUUUUAUCUGGAGAAUUUGAUCGACCUG